UCCAACUUUGACUGUCCGUCUUAUAUGAAAUUUUUUUAUAAUUCGUAUUUUCAUUAUUGUUAGAUGAUAAAACAUGAUUAAUAUUUUAUGUGUGACUUAUCUUUUUAUUUUUUUCAUAAUUUUCUUAAAUAAGACGGACGGUCAAACGUUGGACACGGAAACC
This 163-nucleotide microRNA precursor is filed under the name Oryza nivara. Its description in RNAcentral is "MIR812 microRNA precursor family". It matches the Rfam family "MIR812 microRNA precursor family", at positions 27 to 189 of the family's 205-position model. The record is from Rfam by way of RNAcentral. Lineage: Eukaryota; Viridiplantae; Streptophyta; Magnoliopsida; Poales; Poaceae.